GAACGUUGGCGGCGUGGAUUAGGCAUGCAAGUCGUGCGAGAAGUCUUUUGCUUGCAUUAGACGGACAGCGGCGAAAGGGAGAGUAACGCGUGGAUACCUACCUCCAGAUCAGGGAUAGCUGCGGGAAACUGCAGGUAAUACCUGAUAAUGUCCCCGGACCAAAGGUGAGAUUCCGUCUGGAGACGGAUCCGCGUCCUAUUAGCUUGUUGGUGGGGUAACGGCCUACCAAGGCAACGAUGGGUACCGGGCGUGAGAGCGUGACCCGGCUCACUGGGACUGAGACACUGCCCAGACACCUACGGGUGGCUGCAGUCGAGAAUCUUCGGCAAUGGACGAAAGUCUGACCGAGCGACGCCGCGUGCGGGAUGAAGGCCUUCGGGUUGUAAACCGCUGUCAGUUGGGAGGAAAUCACAUGGGGUCAUCCCCAUGUGUUGACCUAUCUUCAGAGGAAGGACGGGCUAAGUUCGUGCCAGCAGCCGCGGUAAGACGAACCGUCCAAACGUUAUUCGGAAUUACUGGGCUUAAAGGGUGCGUAGGCGGUGCUGUAAGUUGGGUGUGAAAUCCCUCGGCUCAACCGAGGAAUUGCGCCCAAUACUGCAGUACUAGAGGGAGACAGAGGUGAGCGGAACUUGUGGUGGAGCGGUGAAAUGCGUUGAUAUCACAAGGAACACCUGUGGCGAAAGCGGCUCACUGGGUCUCUUCUGACGCUGAGGCACGAAAGCUGGGGGAGCGAACGGGAUUAGAUACCCCGGUAGUCCCAGCUGUAAACGAUGA
RNAcentral lists this ribosomal RNA (774 nucleotides) under uncultured bacterium. RNAcentral describes it as "bacterial SSU rRNA". It matches the Rfam family "Bacterial small subunit ribosomal RNA", at positions 31 to 812 of the family's 1533-position model. The record is from RNAcentral.